AGGUAGAGCUCAGUAGUAGAGUGCAUGUUUAGCAUGCAUGAGGUCCUGGAUUCAACCCCCAGUACCU
This 67-nucleotide transfer RNA is filed under the name Camelus bactrianus (Bactrian camel). It matches the Rfam family "tRNA". From Rfam's summary of the family: Transfer RNA (tRNA) molecules are approximately 80 nucleotides in length. Their secondary structure includes four short double-helical elements and three loops (D, anti-codon, and T loops). Lineage: Eukaryota; Metazoa; Chordata; Mammalia; Artiodactyla; Camelidae. RNAcentral also lists the same sequence under 2 other names. The record is from Rfam by way of RNAcentral.